CCCCUGAAGGGGCGCGUUUGCGGGCCACGCUGCCGGCGUCCACGCAGCCCGCGUCCACGCAGCGGCGCCCCCGAGCGCCGGCCGCAGGGCUGCGAAGGAGUGAGUCCUGGGCCCACAGGUGGCCGCCUGCACCCGCGGCCCCUCCACGCGUGGCCGGGCCCAGACGCAAAGGGACUGGGGUCGCACCGCCGCGCAGGCCGGGAGAAGAGCAGCGGAGCCGGGCUCUCAGCUUCCCCAUUACUGCUGGAAGGACCCGGGCCGGCCCCGGAGGUUCUCUGGGCCUCGCUUUCCUCGGCUGCAAAGUUAGAAUAAUCUCAGGCGCUACAGACAGAGAUCCAGGAGAGCCGGUUCUGGAGAAAACCCAGGCGUGAGGAGGUUAAGGAAGAUGCCUGGCAAUACUUAGCGAGCAGUAACGAUUCCGGCACAAACCUGAGCCGUUAUCACUCACUCCAGGGCGCAGACUCUUAAGUCCAUGUACUGUAGCUGCCUCUCUAAAGAUGAUGUUCAAAGAACGUGUGUGAAUGUGGCCAGUGUUGUCUUAGUGUGUCGGUGAACCACUAUAUCUCUAAACUAAAACAGACUUCAAUAUAUUCCGCGUUGGAUAUUUAGAACUUGUAGUGCUUUUUUACUGAGCAUAAUAUCCAUGCAUUA
Molecule: long non-coding RNA, 651 nt
Organism: Suricata suricatta (meerkat)
Lineage: Eukaryota; Metazoa; Chordata; Mammalia; Carnivora; Herpestidae
Exons: 3
Source: RefSeq, a predicted model, not a curated record